ACCUACCGCCAUACCACCCUGAACACACCCGAUCUCGUCUGAUCUCGGAAGCUAAGCAGGGUCAGGCCUGGUUAGUACUUGGAUGGGAGACCGCCUGGGAAUACCAGGUGCUGUAGGCU
This 119-nucleotide ribosomal RNA is filed under the name Salvator merianae (Argentine black and white tegu). Lineage: Eukaryota; Metazoa; Chordata; Lepidosauria; Squamata; Teiidae. The record is from RNAcentral.